GACGAACGCUGGCGGCGUGCCUAAUACAUGCAAGUAGAACGCUGAAGAGAGGAGCUUGCUCUUCUUGGAUGAGUUGCGAACGGGUGAGUAACGCGUAGGUAACCUGCCUUGUAGCGGGGGAUAACUAUUGGAAACGAUAGCUAAUACCGCAUAACAAUGGAUGACACAUGUCAUUUAUUUGAAAGGGGCAAUUGCUCCACUACAAGAUGGACCUGCGUUGUAUUAGCUAGUAGGUGAGGUAACGGCUCACCUAGGCGACGAUACAUAGCCGACCUGAGAGGGUGAUCGGCCACACUGGGACUGAGACACGGCCCAGACUCCUACGGGAGGCAGCAGUAGGGAAUCUUCGGCAAUGGGGGCAACCCUGACCGAGCAACGCCGCGUGAGUGAAGAAGGUUUUCGGAUCGUAAAGCUCUGUUGUAAGUCAAGAACGAGUGUGAGAGUGGAAAGUUCACACUGUGACGGUAGCUUACCAGAAAGGGACGGCUAACUACGUGCCAGCAGCCGCGGUAAU
RNAcentral lists this ribosomal RNA (514 nucleotides) under uncultured Streptococcus sp. RNAcentral describes it as "bacterial SSU rRNA". It matches the Rfam family "Bacterial small subunit ribosomal RNA", at positions 28 to 524 of the family's 1533-position model. The record is from RNAcentral. Lineage: Bacteria; Bacillati; Bacillota; Bacilli; Lactobacillales; Streptococcaceae.